AGCUCACAUGAUGGCUUUCUCUCAUGCCUUUCCACACAGUGUACAAUCGCGGGAUUGUGGCAUCACUGAAGAUCUGAAACUGGCCGGGUAGGACGUCAACAACAGCCAGCAAAUUAUUAGAAAUUAAGACAAUUUGUAAAAUGAAGUUUUUCAGGUUCCUGGACCACAUAUAUGCUGAUGUAUUUUCGAGCGGACUUUCUCUGACUGUUGACCGCGGAAAUCCGUGAACGAGGUUAUCAGAAAGCUGCGAUAAGAGAGGAAAACGGAGAGGAAGAGAAGCAGCCCGACGCGGUGUGAAGGAAUGGAAUAAACCCCAGAGCAGAACCAGAGGAAGGAGAGAUGACUGCCGUGAGAUGAGAGGGAUAGAGCAGGUCACAGAACAACUAGAGAGACCGUUCAGCUGUGAAGAGACAGGAGAAGCCAGAAGAUCACACAAACACACCCACAGGUGAGAUGCAGGUGAGCAUUAAGAUGGAGGUAAACAGAUCACAUAGUGUGUGUGAGAGAGCUGCAGACAGGCUGAGCUAACCAGUCUGUACCUGCUGGCAGCUUGUAAAUCUAACAUAAAAACAGGAAGGAGUUUCCUCCUCAGAGGAAGGAGUAUAUUACAUAUUACAUAUAUUACAUAUAAUAUAUAUUACAUGCAUAUUAUUGUCUGCAAUAUAUUACUUUCCCCUAAUGCCAUUAUGUAGAUACAUUCUGGCUACCAAAGUAGUUAUAUGUUAUAACUACUGCAGAUAAGGUCUAUGAAAAUGUUUUAUUAUAGUGUAGCCUAAUAAAAAAAGAAACUUACCAAAUGCUCUGUUAAAUUCCUUACUAGUGUAGUUACAAUAUAGUCACAUGUAACUAAUUACACCAAAAUAUUACAAGUUCCCUACAGUGUAUGAAGUGUGCCCACUGCCCAACCAGUCUCAUCUGUCAGUAACACCAAAGGAUCAUGUUCAUUGUGCACCAAAUGGAUGAAAACGGAUGGGUGAAAACAGCCUGAAACUGGGUGGGACUACCUGGACUUGUCCAAGUAGAAACUCACAUUUUUGUUGUCCAAUGGCUUCCCUAAUGAACAUGACCCAGUAGCCUGCUGCCCUGCGGGGAAACCGGUCUGUCCUGUAUUGUAAUUGUGUUGCCUGGCUGUCCCUAACCAGUCGUCACAAAAUAUUCCCUGUGCCAUCGUUGCACCCCCUCAUGUCUGAAAGGAGCUCUCGGAGUUGUAAAAUAGUCUAAAAUUUCACACACUGCUACGCUAGCAAUGUGCAGACAGCUCCCAUGGGUAUUUUUACGUAAUUUGAUUGCGCCAAAACGAUUUGUCACUGGAGUUUGUUGUUUUUCAAUAGGGGACCCAAUACAUGUGGUUGUAAUUUUGGCUCUCUCUUAUGUCUUCUCUUUCUCAUUCAUCCGAAAAUAGAUCAAAUCGUCUCCAUUUCAGCGAUGGAGAGACAUUUGUAGAGAAGGUUACGUACAACCUCGUUCUGUAUGCUUUGACUAUAGGGGAAAUCACUUCUAACACAAAACCUUUACAUUGAGUCGCACAUUCACAGUGGUCUCCAACCGACCGUCGUCUUACAACAAUGAAGUGGUCAAAUGUCAGAGCUGCUCACACCAUUAAGACCGGCUUGUCUGCGUGAGAAAGACUACUACCCCCCCCCCUAGCCCCAUAUACUGUAGACUUCCUCCUUCCCCACCACCCACCCCGGCCCGUCGGCGGUGAUGCCCAGCCCCGUCACUCCGAUUUGGGCUUGGACGUCAGCUCAGGGUCCAUCUCUGUUUCUCGCUGACUCCUGGCCUAACCAGUCUGAGUCAUGCUCGUCCUCUGGACAUAGAAGACCUUGGAGUACACUGCCACUACCUCUGCUUAUCUGCUUCUGUCAUUUCGCACAAUGUCAAUCCAAUGGCUUAAUAAGGGGCCAGGGGUCAGGGAGUUUGAUGUGGCCCUCGAGCGAGGACUCGCUGUACUUUUGGUCAUGUUUCUGCAGCAAGCCAAUAAAGGCCUGGUUAGGAAUUAGUAUAUAUUUUUUUGCAGUACUGAAUAGACAAGAGAAUUUAGCUGAUGAAGAAGGGUCAACAUAUAGAUAUAGUCUCCUGUUCACUUUCAGUCCACCCGUGAGGAAAAAAAACGUCCUUGAAAGACAGUCACAUUCUGUUCAAUAUUACAUUUCGAUUAAAUUAAAUGACUGAACACAUUUUAUUAUUGCUCACAUUAAUUAUUGAAAAAGCGCCACACACAUUACGAUUUUUUUGGCGUGGUCACAAAUGCAGAUGACUGUCUUGCCUUUGAAAAGCCCCCACAUCAUAGUGAAACUUCAGAUGCUAUCAAUUAGCAUGACUCAGCAGGUUGUGUUGACGCUAAGGCCUCUCAGUUGAGGUAGCUAGCAACACAUGCCGAUAGACUACAACAGAAACCACCCCCUAGCGCUCUCACGGUGCGCUGUUUACCAAGACUCAAAUGAGUCAGGACUUUCAAGAUGACUAAAAGAUGACUAAAGCCUCAACCGCUACCGAGAGUGAAAACAAAUGUGUUUUCCUGCUCCGUGUACAGUUUAACAAAAAAUGAAGUACAUGACCUUGCGUUAAAUUUGUCUAAGACAAAUAAGCAGCUGAACUGAAGGUUAAACUCAGAGCAAAACGAUAAUGUGUGAAGUGCUUUGAAUAAUUGUAUUAGGAUUCAAAAUAUUAUAUUAGAACAUUGUAUUAUAUUAUAACACCUCCCACCCCCACUUUCCUUUUACCCUCAAAACAGCCUCAAUUCGUUGGGGCAUGGACUCUACAAUGUGUCGAAAGCAUUCCACAGGGAUGCUGACCCAUUCUGACUCCAAUGCUUCCCACAGUUGUAUCAAGUUGGCUGGAUAUCCCAGCAGCGUUGUAGUUCUUGACACAAACUGGUGCACCUGGCACCUACUUACCAUACCCCGUUCAAAGGCACUUAAAUCUUUUGUCUUGCCUAUUCACCUUUCGGAAUUGCACACACAAAAUCCUUGUCUCAAUUGUCUCAAGGCUUAAAACAAUCCUUCUUUAACCUGUCUCCUCCCCUUCAUCUACACUGAUUUGAAGUGGAUUUAACAAGUGACAUCAAUAAGGGAUCAGCUUUCGCCUGUAUUCACCUGGUCAGUCUGUGUCAUGGAAAGGUAAAAGGUGUUCUUAAUGUUUUGUACACUAUACAUUAUAGGGAAAGGGGGUGCCACUCAGUAUACAAUUGGCAAUCGGGACAUUGAACUGUCUGUGAAACAAAUGGGGCUUUAUUGGAAAUUGACGUGUUAAUAAAUUCAGGUUUAUUAACCCAACCGAAGUGCACAUUUUGAAUUCGUAAUGCCUCCCUUUCUUUCUCUCCCUUGCUUUCUCAGCUAUGCCAGAGGACGAGACCAAGAGUAAGCAGAGAAGAUGUCUGCAUUAAUUUCCAAGCGUUUCAGUCACUUUACAUACAUGUCACGUGGGUGAGCAAUAUGAGGUGGUUUCAGUCAUUUAAGUGUAAUAAAACACUCAAAGAUAAAUAGCCAUCCUCUUAUAACAACAGGUAAAUGGAGGCGUCUGAAAAGUGACUUAAGACAUGAGGAACAAUGGUAAUGUCUUUGUGGUGUCCUUCUAGCUCUGAGAGAGAGGGAAUAAAAGAGGGACGAGAGGGAGAAUAAGAGAGGGACGGAGAGGGAGAAUAAGAGAGGGACGGAGAGAGAGAAUAAAAGAGGGACGAGAGGGAGAAUAAGAGGGACGGAGAGGGAGAAUAAGAGGGACGGAGAGGGAGAAUAAGAGGGACGGAGAGGGAGAAUAAGAGGGACGGAGAGGGAGAAUAAGAGGGACGGAGAGGGAGAAUAGGAGGGACGGAGAGGGAGAGAAUAAAAGAGGGAUGGAGAGAGAAUAGAAGGAUCGAUAGAGAGAAAAAAAGUGGGAGAGAUAAUAAAGGAGGGAUGAGAGAGAAAGAGGGAGAAUAAAAGAGGGAUGGAGAGGGAACAAUAGAGGCCCAGCUGCUCAUUGCCAUGGCCGGACUACCGCGUUUGGGGCCCGGGGCACCGACCUCCAGGCGGGUCUGUUUUGAGAAACUGCAUUUCAACACAUUUUGUGUUGAAGAAAAGGCAGUUUUGUAAUACUAUUCUACACAUUUCUCUACACAAUAGAAAAUGUUUUAUUUUUUCUGUUUUUAUAGCUCAUCUCAUGCUAUUGUUCAUUUUGCCAUGAGGCUGAGAGAAAGCUUUGCAGUUUUAUAACAAAUUUUUGGCAAUUCUACACAUUUUGCUAUCAUAUGCUAUCGGGGGGGCCCCCGACCUCCAUUCGGUAAUCCAGCCCUGCCUAUUGCUCUCCUCAUCUUUCCUCAUCUCGAAGCAGCAAACUGUCAGCCCGACUCACCAUCAGGCCCUGUUUUCCCCGGUGAACAUUCAACGCUGUCGGUGAGUUUGAGCUAAAUUGACAAAAACCAUCGACCGUUGAGUGUACCCUGUGGCCAGCCCUUGUCGCUUGACGUACAAUGCACACAGCUACUGACUCUCAAUGUGACCAGAGGAGGAAGGAAGAUGAACACUCUGGUCCUAUCUGCCUCUCCACCCCUCUGCAUCCACCCCCCUCCUAAACACAGACACACACACACACGCAAACCAAUCCUCCAGCCUCUAACCACAGCAAAGGUCACAAUCAACAUUCAUUGCUGUCGGUGGGUUUAACUAAGUGGAAAAGCUCGCUGAACAAUGAAUGCUACUGUGUCCCAGAUUUCCACGCCAACCAAACGUCAGAGGGGAUAUCGUCCGGAUUUGCUGAUUAUUGUGUUUUUAUGUAUUAUAUUAUGUAUUUCCCCCACAGGCUUGUAUGGAGAAUGUAAGUAGACAUAGCAUCGUAUAAAAUCUUGAUCAUGCUUGUUGGAGCUUUCUUAUGUGGCUAUGGGAGAAGGGGGAAUAAAAUUGAUAUAUCCAACCAUC
Salvelinus fontinalis (brook trout) is the source of this 4892-nucleotide long non-coding RNA. RefSeq lists it as uncharacterized. The record is from RefSeq and is a predicted model, not a curated record. The transcript has 3 exons. NCBI's taxonomy places the organism in Eukaryota, Metazoa, Chordata, Actinopteri, Salmoniformes, Salmonidae.